GAGUUUGAUCCUGGCUCAGGAUGAACGCUAGCGGCAGGCCUAACACAUGCAAGUCGAGGGGUAACAGGAAGUGCUUGCACUUCGCUGACGACCGGCGCACGGGUGAGUACCGCGUAUACAAUCUGCCUCAUACUAGGGGAUAGCCCGAAGAAAUUUGGAUUAAUACCCUAUAGUAUCUUUUUAAGGCAUCUUAUUAAGAUUAAAGGUUACGGUAUGAGAUGAGUAUGCGUUAUAUUAGCUAGUAGGUGUGGUAACGGCACACCUAGGCUACGAUAGAUAGGGGCCCUGAGAGGGGGAUCCCCCACACUGGUACUGAGACACGGACCAGACUCCUACGGGGGGCAGCAGUGAGGAAUAUUGGACAAUGGGCGAAAGCCUGAUCCAGCCAUGCCGCGUGCAGGAUGACUGCCCUAUGGGUUGUAAACUGCUUUUAUAUAGGAAGAAAAACUUUCUCGUGAGAAAGGUUGACGGUACUAUAAGAGUAAGGAUCGGCUAACUCCGUGCCAGCAGCCGCGGUAAUACGGAGGAUCCAAGCGUUAUCCGGAAUCAUUGGGUUUAAAGGGUCCGUAGGUGGACAAAUAAGUCAGAGGUGAAAUCCUGCAGCUCAACUGUAGAACUGCCUUUGAUACUGUUUGUCUUGAGUUAUUAUGAAGUGGUUAGAAUGUGUAGUGUAGCGGUGAAAUGCAUAGAUAUUACACAGAAUACCGAUUGCGAAGGCAGAUCACUAAUAAUUAACUGACACUGAGGGACGAAAGCGUGGGUAGCGAACAGGAUUAGAUACCCUGGUAGUCCACGCCGUAAACGAUGGUCACUAGCUGUUUGGACUUCGGUCUGAGUGGCUAAGCGAAAGUGAUAAGUGACCCACCUGGGGAGUACGUUCGCAAGAAUGAAACUCAAAGGAAUUGACGGGGGCCUGCACAAGCGGUGGAGCAUGUGGUUUAAUUCGAUGCAACGCGAAGAACCUUACCAGGAUUUGACAUACUACAAAUCUUUUUGAGAAAGAAGAGCGCCUUCGGGAAUGUAGAUACAGGUGGUGCAUGGCUGUCGUCAGCUCGUGUCGUGAGAUGUUGGGUUAAGUCCCGCAACGAGCGCAACCCUUAUUUUUAGUUACUAACUUGUUAGGUUCUCUAGAAAGACUGCCGGUGACAAACCGGAGGAAGGUGAGGAUGACGUCAAGUCGGCAUGCCCCUUAUAUCCUGGGCUACACACGUGCUACAAUGGUUAAGACAAUGAGUCGCAAGCUCGCGAGAGUCUGCUAAUCUGGUAAACUUUGCCUAAGUUCAGAUUGUAGGCUGCAACUCGCCUACAUGAAGUUGGAAUCGCUAGUAAUCGCUGGUCAGCCACACAGCGGUGAAUCUGUUCCCAGGCCUU
RNAcentral lists this ribosomal RNA (1371 nucleotides) under uncultured marine bacterium. RNAcentral's name for it is "partial 16S ribosomal RNA". It matches the Rfam family "Bacterial small subunit ribosomal RNA", at positions 9 to 1382 of the family's 1533-position model. The record is from RNAcentral.